RNAcentral lists this ribosomal RNA (329 nucleotides) under uncultured Glomeromycotina. RNAcentral's name for it is "eukaryotic LSU rRNA". Lineage: Eukaryota; Fungi; Glomeromycota. The record is from RNAcentral.
UAGUGGAACUGAUACAAAAUCAGCUUACGCAUCAAGGCAAUUAACGCAUUGGCGAGCCUAAAAACCGUCAUAGUCGACAUUCAAUUACUUGUGUGGGGUGCAUUUUUGUAUCAGCUGGUUAACAUCAAUUUUGACUGUCAUAAAAAGGCUAAAGGAGAUGUGGCUCCUUCGGGAGUGUGAUAACCUUUAGCGGAAUAUGGUGGUCGGGAUUGAGGCUUGCAACGAAUACCUUCAGGGCUGUUCCACCUGGCUUCUCAUUGGUAUCCUGGUGACGACAGCUUGCUGACGUCGUUAGGAUUCGCCAUUGAACAGGCUAGAGUGUGAGCAAA